CUUAAGGGCUCACUGUGAAACUGUACCCUUGUUCGGGGGGGAUAACUAGUCGAAAGAUUAGCUAAUACCGCAUACGACCUGAGGGUGAAAGCGGGGGACCGAAAGGCUCGCGCAGCAGGAGCGGCCGAUGUCUGAUUAGCUAGUUGGUGGGGUAAAGGCCCACCAAGGCGACGAUCAGUAGCUGGUCUGAGAGGACGAUCAGCCACACUGGGACUGAGACACGGCCCAGACUCCACGGGAGGCAGCAGUGGGGAAUUUUGGACAAUGGGGGCAACCCUGAUCCAGCAAUGCCGCGUGUGUGAAGAAGGCCUUCGGGUUGUAAAGCACUUUUGUCCGGAAAGAAAUUGCUCUGGCUAAUACCGGGGUAGAUGACGGUACCGGAAGAAUAAGCACCGGCUAACUACGUGCCAGCAGCCGCGGUAAUACGUAGGGUGCGAGCGUUAAUCGGAAUUACUGGGCGUAAAGCGUGCGCAGGCGGUUUUGUAAGAAGGCGUGAAAUCCCCGGGCUCAACCUGGGAAUUGCGCUUGUGACUGCAAGGCUAGAGUGCGUCAGAGGGGGGUAGAAUUCCACGUGUAGCAGUGAAAUGCGUAGAGAUGUGGAGGAAUACCGAUGGCAAGGCAGCCCCCUGGGACGUGACUGACGCUCAUGCACGAAAGCGUGGGGAGCAAACAGGAUUAGAUACCCUGGUAGUCCACGCCCUAAACGAUGUCAACUAGUUGUUGGGGAUUCAUUUUCUCAGUACGUAGCUAACGCGUGAAGUUGACCGCCUGGGGAGUACGGUCGCAAGAUUAAAACUCAAAGGAAUUGACGGGGACCCGCACAAGCGGUGGAUGAUGUGGAUUAAUUCGAUGCAACGCGAAAAACCUUACUACCCUUGACAUGCCACUAACGAAGCAGAGAUGCAUUAGGUGCCCGAAAGGGAAAGUGGACACAGGUGCUGCAUGGCUGUCGUCAGCUCGUGUCGUGAGAUGUUGGGUUAAGUCCCGCAACGAGCGAACCCUUGUCUCUAGUUGCUACGCAAGAGCACUCUAGAGAGACUGCCGGUGACAAACCGAGGGAAGGUGGGGAUGACGUCAAGUCCUCAUGGCCCUUAUGGGUAGGGCUUCACACGUCAUACAAUGGGCGUACAGAGGGUUGCCAACCCGCGAGGGGGAGCUAAUCCCAGAAAACGCAUCGUAGUCCGGAUCGUAGUCUGCAACUCGACUACGUGAAGCUGGAAUCGCUAGUAAUCGCGGAUCAGCAUGCCGCGUGAAUACGUUCCCGGGUCUUGUACACACCGCCCGUCACACCAUGGGAGUGGGUUUUGCCCACUACAAAGUGGCCGG
RNAcentral lists this ribosomal RNA (1326 nucleotides) under Cupriavidus pauculus. RNAcentral describes it as "bacterial SSU rRNA". It matches the Rfam family "Bacterial small subunit ribosomal RNA", at positions 91 to 1438 of the family's 1533-position model. Lineage: Bacteria; Pseudomonadati; Pseudomonadota; Betaproteobacteria; Burkholderiales; Burkholderiaceae. The record is from RNAcentral.